This 85-nucleotide transfer RNA is filed under the name Methylacidimicrobium tartarophylax. RNAcentral describes it as "tRNA-Leu". It matches the Rfam family "tRNA". From Rfam's summary of the family: Transfer RNA (tRNA) molecules are approximately 80 nucleotides in length. Their secondary structure includes four short double-helical elements and three loops (D, anti-codon, and T loops). Further hydrogen bonds mediate the characteristic L-shaped molecular structure. tRNAs have two regions of fundamental functional importance: the anti-codon, which is responsible for specific mRNA codon recognition, and the 3' end, to which the tRNAs corresponding amino acid is attached (by aminoacyl-tRNA synthetases). tRNAs cope with the degeneracy of the genetic code in two manners: having more than one tRNA (with a specific anti-codon) for a particular amino acid; and 'wobble' base-pairing, i.e. permitting non-standard base-pairing at the 3rd anti-codon position. The record is from RNAcentral. Lineage: Bacteria; Pseudomonadati; Verrucomicrobiota. RNAcentral also lists the same sequence under 1 other name.
GCCCACGUGGUGGAACGGCAGACACACGGGACUUAAAAUCCCGUGGGGGGAAACUCCCGUGUGGGUUCGAAUCCCACCGUGGGCA